RNAcentral lists this ribosomal RNA (253 nucleotides) under uncultured bacterium. RNAcentral describes it as "partial 16S ribosomal RNA". It matches the Rfam family "Bacterial small subunit ribosomal RNA", at positions 524 to 776 of the family's 1533-position model. The record is from RNAcentral.
UACGGGGGGGGCAAGCGUUGUUCGGAAUUACUGGGCGUAAAGGGCUCGUAGGCGGCCAACUAAGUCAGACGUGAAAUCCCUCGGCUUAACCGGGGAACUGCGUCUGAUACUGGAUGGCUUGAAUCCGGGAGAGGGAUGCGGGAUUCCAGGUGUAGCGGUGAAAUGCGUAGAUAUCUGGAGGAACACCGGUGGCGAAGGCGGCAUCCUGGACCGGCAUUGACGCUGAGGAGCGAAAGCCAGGGGAGCAAACGGG